Molecule: non-coding RNA, 932 nt
Organism: Rattus norvegicus (Norway rat)
Lineage: Eukaryota; Metazoa; Chordata; Mammalia; Rodentia; Muridae
Source: RefSeq, a predicted model, not a curated record
UUGUCUCUGUAGGACAUGUUACCACAGCAAUGCAAAGUGACUCACAGCCUUCCUACCCUAAAAGUUCGUAUAUUAAGGUCUUUACCCCCAAGUUCUCUAUCACAGGCAUUUAGAUAUGGGAUAUUUGGACCGGAAGUUCAAAUGGAAGACCUCACUUGGUCUCCAGCAGGUGGCGCUGUUUGGGAAAAUUAUGGACCCUUUAAGAGGUGGAGCCUCGCUGGAGGAAGUCUCUGUUUCCUUCACAUGACCUCAGACCAUGGUGAUGCUACCAAUCAAGAUACGAUGCAUGCAGGACCCAUUAAUAACAUUAGAAAACCUAGCAAGACAGGUAGCCAUACAUUUUAUGGCGAAGAAGCUGAGACAUAGGGGCUGGAGAGAUGGCUCUAACGGGAAAGUGUUUGCCUUGCACUUUCAAGAGGAGGAAAAGGAAGAGGGAAAUGAGGAGAAAUAAGAGGAAGAAAAAGAGGAGGAAGAGAAAGGAGGUCAAGUGGAUCUUGUAACACCACCAUUGGGGAGACAGACACAGGCAGAUCCCUGGGGUUCCUUGACCAGCCAGCCUCAAUUGUUUGUCAAGUUCCAGGACAGUGAGAGACUCUGCCUCAGAAACAACAAAGUUGGAGCUGGAGAAAUGGCAGUGGCUAAGACAUGUACUGACUUUUCAGAAGACCCAAGUUUAUGUUCCUAACACAUGCAUCAAGUGGUUCACAACUGAUUAUAAAUCAGCUCUAGGGGAUCUGAAUCCCCUUUAUCGUCUCCUCGGUCACCUGCACUCACACAUCCACGCAUACAUGCAUAUCACUCUGGCGAUGUGUACACAUACAUUUGAACAUGCACACAUACAUAUACGCAAACACACAAGAAGAAAAAGAGCUUUCUUCUGUUAGGCUGUUUGUAGCAAGCCUUAGAAUUACAAAGGAUUUCUGGCUAAUUAA